GGGCCGGUCAGCUCAGUUGGUUGGAGCAUGGUGCUGCUAACACCAAGGUCACAGGUUCGAUUCCUGUUUGGUCCC
Apaloderma vittatum (bar-tailed trogon) is the source of this 75-nucleotide transfer RNA. It matches the Rfam family "tRNA". From Rfam's summary of the family: Transfer RNA (tRNA) molecules are approximately 80 nucleotides in length. Their secondary structure includes four short double-helical elements and three loops (D, anti-codon, and T loops). Further hydrogen bonds mediate the characteristic L-shaped molecular structure. tRNAs have two regions of fundamental functional importance: the anti-codon, which is responsible for specific mRNA codon recognition, and the 3' end, to which the tRNAs corresponding amino acid is attached (by aminoacyl-tRNA synthetases). tRNAs cope with the degeneracy of the genetic code in two manners: having more than one tRNA (with a specific anti-codon) for a particular amino acid; and 'wobble' base-pairing, i.e. permitting non-standard base-pairing at the 3rd anti-codon position. NCBI's taxonomy places the organism in Eukaryota, Metazoa, Chordata, Aves, Trogoniformes, Trogonidae. The record is from Rfam.